GGACGAACGCUGGCGGCGUGCUUAACACAUGCAAGUCGAGCGGUAAGGCCCUUUCGGGGGUACACGAGCGGCGAACGGGUGAGUAACNCGUGGGUGACCUGCCCUCAGCUCUGGGAUAAGCCUGGGAAACCGGGUCUAAUACUGGAUAUGACUCCAUGACGCAUGUUGUGGGGUGAAAGCCUUGUGCGGCUGAGGAUCGGGCCCGCGGCCUAUCAGCUUUGGUUGGUGGGGUGANGGCCUACCAAGGCGACGACGGGUAGCCGGCCUGAGAGGGCGACCGGCCACACUGGGACUGAGACACGGCCC
This 306-nucleotide ribosomal RNA is filed under the name uncultured bacterium. RNAcentral describes it as "bacterial SSU rRNA". It matches the Rfam family "Bacterial small subunit ribosomal RNA", at positions 27 to 332 of the family's 1533-position model. The record is from RNAcentral.